Molecule: long non-coding RNA, 748 nt
Organism: Alligator sinensis (Chinese alligator)
Lineage: Eukaryota; Metazoa; Chordata; Crocodylia; Alligatoridae
Exons: 5
Source: RefSeq, a predicted model, not a curated record
CACAAACCGCAGAUAACAUGCAACCCACCAAAGGCAUUUUCUUUUGAUGGUUGUUUCUGCGUAAAUAAGUGGAACUCAGCUAAACUCUUGUUAUGCAUUCUGCUUGGGGUCAGCAACAUUGUGCCUAUCAACUCAUCGUCACUAUUAUCAGUGCUGACAGUGUUUUAGCUACUGUACACAUGUACCAGAGGGCACAAUCCCUUUCCAUUUACUAGCAGAACAAAAUACUUAUGAGAAGAAGAAAUGAAUGUGCUUCUCUAUGGCAGUUUUCAUGAGGAUGGCAUCUCAAAGUACUUUACAAAGCGAUGAGAGAGAGAGAUAAUACAAUGGCUGGAUAUUAACUAUUGUGUGGAAGGCUACCAGGGAGGAGAACAAGGGACUUCAAAAAGAAGCAUGUUGAAGAGUGACUGGGACAAGGAGCGGUGCCUGCACAAAGUCUGUGAGCUUUGCUAAUACUACGUGGAACACCACAAAGGGGACUUUGAAGGUUAGACAAGCUCCAAGUGGUCUUGUGUCUUCUACUGUUCCUAUUGGCACAAGCAAGAUUUUAACAAAUUUCCUUGUAAAGGAAGCAGCUGUGCCCACCUGAAACUUGUGAUCCUGCUCCUGUCUUUGUUUCAAGGUGAUUUGCAUCAUCACAGAACCUCACAAGAGGUGAGAUGCUCCAUACCAGCUAUGAACUGACUGCCUAGUGGAGUUUUCCACGUAUUGAUUCCUCUGCGAAAUCCUGUGAAAUAUGAACUUUCAU